AUUGAACGCUGGCGGCAUGCCUAACACAUGCAAGUCGAACGGUAACGCGGGGGCAACCCUGGCGACGAGUGGCGGACGGGUGAGUAAUACAUCGGAACGUGCCCAGUAGUGGGGGAUAGCCCGGCGAAAGCCGGAUUAAUACCGCAUACGACCUACGGGUGAAAGCGGGGGAUCGCAAGACCUCGCGCUAUUGGAGCGGCCGAUGUCAGAUUAGCUAGUUGGUGGGGUAAAAGCCUACCAAGGCGACGAUCUGUAGCUGGUCUGAGAGGACGACCAGCCACACUGGGACUGAGACACGGCCCAGACUCCUACGGGAGGCAGCAGUGGGAAUUUUGGACAAUGGGGGCAACCCUGAUCCAGCCAUGCCGCGUGCGGGAAGAAGGCC
Molecule: ribosomal RNA, 385 nt
Filed under: uncultured bacterium
Lineage: Bacteria
Description: bacterial SSU rRNA
Rfam family: Bacterial small subunit ribosomal RNA
Source: RNAcentral